AUGGGAGACAGUUGCCAGUAGCCACUAUGGCAGAGGGGGCUCCCUGGAAGAUGUCUGGCUUCUGUCCUUGUGACAAACCUCAUGCUACCCCUGGGGCUUUCUCCCAGGAAUUUCUAGAAGGAUUGUGCCCUAGGCAUGAAACAGCUUUGGCCACUCAGCCAGGCAUCAAGCGAGGAUGAACAAAGGACAGCGUCUGCUCUGCCUCUGACUGAUCUAAGAACAACAUCACCAACAAGGUGUCUCUUUGCCCAUUGCCAGGUGCAUGGAUAUUUUCACCCCCAUGUGUCACUGUGCCUAACACAUCUGAGUCUAGGGUUCCUAGUCCUGCCUGCAGGUG
Long non-coding RNA from Nannospalax galili (Upper Galilee mountains blind mole rat), 337 nucleotides. RefSeq lists it as uncharacterized. The transcript has 3 exons. The record is from RefSeq and is a predicted model, not a curated record. Lineage: Eukaryota; Metazoa; Chordata; Mammalia; Rodentia; Spalacidae.